RNAcentral lists this ribosomal RNA (1377 nucleotides) under Agromyces sp. Its description in RNAcentral is "bacterial SSU rRNA". It matches the Rfam family "Bacterial small subunit ribosomal RNA". Lineage: Bacteria; Bacillati; Actinomycetota; Actinomycetes; Micrococcales; Microbacteriaceae. The record is from RNAcentral.
AAUGCAAGUCGAACGAUGAACUCCAGCUUGCUGGGGGGAUUAGUGGCGAACGGGUGAGUAACACGUGAGUAACCUGCCCUGGACUCUGGGAUAAGCGUUGGAAACGACGUCUAAUACCGGAUAGGACUCCUGACCGCAUGGUUGGGGGUGGAAAGUUUUUCGGUCUGGGAUGGACUCGCGGCCUAUCAGCUUGUUGGUGAGGUAAUGGCUCACCAAGGCGUCGACGGGUAGCCGGCCUGAGAGGGUGACCGGCCACACUGGGACUGAGACACGGCCCAGACUCCUACGGGAGGCAGCAGUGGGGAAUAUUGCACAAUGGGCGAAAGCCUGAUGCAGCAACGCCGCGUGCGGGAUGACGGCCUUCGGGUUGUAAACCGCUUUUAGUAGGGAAGAAGGGCUUCGGCUUGACGGUACCUGCAGAAAAAGGACCGGCUAACUACGUGCCAGCAGCCGCGGUAAUACGUAGGGUCCGAGCGUUGUCCGGAAUUAUUGGGCGUAAAGAGCUCGUAGGCGGUUUGUCGCGUCUGCUGUGAAAUCUGGAGGCUCAACCUCCAGCCUGCAGUGGGUACGGGCAGACUAGAGUGCGGUAGGGGAGAAUGGAAUUCCUGGUGUAGCGGUGGAAUGCGCAGAUAUCAGGAGGAACACCGAUGGCGAAGGCAGUUCUCUGGGCCGUAACUGACGCUGAGGAGCGAAAGCGUGGGGAGCGAACAGGAUUAGAUACCCUGGUAGUCCACGCCGUAAACGUUGGGCGCUAGAUGUGGGGACCUUUCCACGGUUUCCGUGUCGUAGCUAACGCAUUAAGCGCCCCGCCUGGGGAGUACGGCCGCAAGGCUAAAACUCAAAGGAAUUGACGGGGGGCCCGCACAAGCGGCGGAGCAUGCGGAUUAAUUCGAUGCAACGCGAAGAACCUUACCAAGGCUUGACAUAACCGAGAACGCCCUAGAAAUAGGGAACUCUUUGGACACUCGGUUACAGGUGGUGCAUGGUUGUCGUCAGCUCGUGUCGUGAGAUGUUGGGUUAAGUCCCGCAACGAGCGCAACCCUCGUCGCAUGUUGCCAGCACGUAAUGGUGGGAACUCAUGUGAGACUGCCGGGGUCAACUCGGAGGAAGGUGGGGAUGACGUCAAAUCAUCAUGCCCCUUAUGUCUUGGGCUUCACGCAUGCUACAAUGGCCGGUACAAAGGGCUGCGAUGUCGUAAGGCGGAGCGAAUCCCAAAAAGCCGGUCUCAGUUCGGAUUGAGGUCUGCAACUCGACCUCAUGAAGUCGGAGUCGCUAGUAAUCGCAGAUCAGCAACGCUGCGGUGAAUACGUUCCCGGGCCUUGUACACACCGCCCGUCAAGUCAUGAAAGUCGGUAACACCCGAAGCCGGUGGCCUAA